RNAcentral lists this ribosomal RNA (253 nucleotides) under uncultured bacterium. Its description in RNAcentral is "partial 16S ribosomal RNA". It matches the Rfam family "Bacterial small subunit ribosomal RNA", at positions 524 to 776 of the family's 1533-position model. The record is from RNAcentral.
UACGGGGGGGGCAAGCGUUGUUCGGAAUUACUGGGCGUAAAGGGCUCGUAGGCGGCCAACUAAGUCAGACGUGAAAUCCCUCGGCUUAACCGGGGAACUGCGUCUGAUACUGGAUGGCUUGAGGUUGGGAGAGGGAUGCGGAAUUCCAGGUGUAGCGGUGAAAUGCGUAGAUAUCAGGAGGAACACCUGUGGUGUAGACAGCUUACUGGACCAUUUCUGACGCUGAGACACGAAAGCGUGGGUAGCAAACAGG